AGUGAACGCUGGCGGUAGGCCUAACACAUGCCAGUCGAACGGCAGCACAGUAAGAACUUGCUCUUACGGGUGGCGAGUGGCGGACGGGUGAGGAAUACAUCGGAAUUUUCUUUUUUGUGGGGGAUAACGUAGGGAAACUUACGCUAAUACCGCAUACGACCUACGGGUGAAAGCAGGGGAUCUUCGGACCUUGCGCGAUUGAAUGAGCCGAUGUCGGAUUAGCUAGUUGGCGGGGUAAAGGCCCACCAAGGCGACGAUCCGUAGCUGGUCUGAGAGGAUGAUCAGCCACACUGGAACUGAGACACGGUCCAGACUCCUACGGGAGGCAGCAGUGGGGAAUAUUGGACAAUGGGCGCAAGCCUGAUCCAGCCAUACCGCGUGGGUGAAGAAGGCCUUCGGGUUGUAAAGCCCUUUUGUUGGGAAAGAAAAGCAGCAGGUUAAUACCCCGCUGUUCUGACGGUACCCAAAGAAUAAGCACCGGCUAACUUCGUG
Molecule: ribosomal RNA, 492 nt
Filed under: uncultured bacterium
Lineage: Bacteria
Description: partial 16S ribosomal RNA
Rfam family: Bacterial small subunit ribosomal RNA
Source: RNAcentral